GUAUGUACCUCCCGGCAGUAACCAGUCUUGAGUCGAACCCUGACGUGGGAGCUCUGUGUUGGUUAACUCAGAAUCAUCCUCACUCCGUCGGUGGUUCGGUUUUCAUGCCCCUACAGGGGGGGUGGGGGAGGGGUGUGCAGGGUCAGGCACAGGUGGGAGCUGUGGCACAGCAUUCCGCCCAGGCCCUGCGCCCCCACCUGUGUAGCAUUCCCCGAACUUGUCUGACGGAGGAAGCCCUUUACGCAGCACACAGCAUCUUACAGGAACUCGCGUUUUCAGGAAGAUGGUUUCAGCAGCGCUGCAGUGACUGAUGCGAGCCCAGCAGAGAGCAUUGGUUUAUCAGACUUGCUGUGAAUGGAGCGGUGAGCAUACAUUGAGAGGAGGGGAAAAUGUGAUCUAAAACACAAGGCAGUAGAUUUCAAAGGAUAGUCUGCAGCCUUGUCACUCGGAGUGUGGUCCCCAGACCAGCAGCAUCGACACCCCUAAGGAGCUUGUUAAAAAUGCAGAGCCUCAGAGCACACCCCACGCCUACCUUACGUGCGGGCACCUGCAUCUUGACCGACUCCCCCUUCGCUCCACCUCUGUCCUCGGGGCAUCUGCUUCAGAAUCCUAGGGAGGCUCCUGAACGAUGCAGAGUCCUGGGUUCUGCCUGAGGCCUGCUGACGUGGAGCUUGGAGAAUGGGGCCUGGGACCUGGCCUUGUAACAAUGUCUUGGGGUGACGUUCACGCACACUAGCGUUUGAGAACCACUGGCCUGUCCCACAGGCAACAAGCAGCUCCUGGGAGCCUCCUAAAAAUGCUACUUCCUGGGCCGCCCCUGGAUCUACUGAGUCUGGGCGUCUAGGGGCCGAGCCUGGGAAUCAGCACGAGGAUGAUGGUGAAACGGACACAGCUGCCCUGAGGCGGGACUCCAGCCAGCUCUGCUCUGCCCAGCAUCCUGGGGCUAUGCCCACUGGGAGGAGGAGCUGUGAUCUCCGCCCCUGGAUCAAGAGCCCUAGAGAAAAGUGUGCUUUUGUUUCUAGGAGAGAUUAAGAAAAUGCAUUUGGGAGGGUAGCCUAUGAGUGGCUGUUUGCUCUCGACACCUGUAAACUGUUGACUGUAAUUGGACCACAGAUGUUCCCUGAGCCUGAUAGCUUUCUCUCCUCCGGCCGUGGAGGGGAGUCUGGGGAGGGGUUCUUCUCUAGAAGGAAAUCGAAUGAUUGUAUUGGGGCUGCAUUUCCUUGCCUUCCUCUGAUUUAAUCUGUUUUUCUACAUUUAUCAUUAUUAUUUUCGACACUUCAGUGUUAGACAAAAAGCUGUUUUGUAAAAAACCAGGGGGAUGUUAGCAAAAGGUGUGUUCAUAGAAUCAAACAGAAUCUUUGUGGGCAAAUGAAGGUAUUCAAAGUCCUGCAGAAAUGCAUGAAAUCCUCUUGAGCCCCCCAGCUCAAGGAGACCUCCCAGCGUGGAACAGAGAAGAGCAAUCUCACAGGAGAAAGCAGGAGAGAGGCGCUGUGUGGAAGGUCUGCGAGUCAUCAUCUCCCAUAAUCCUCACACACAAAAGAGGUGAUGUCCGCACGUUCCACAGACAGAAAACGGACCUGGAGAUGUGGAACAGCCUGCCCGGGGCAUGAGCUGGAAGGGGGGCUGCAGUGGUGGAAGUGGGGAGAUGUGUCACAGGAUGCCAGUAACAGAGCCUCAUUCACGACCUUGCGUGGUGUCCGACUUGUCAUUUGCUGGUUUUUAGAAGCAGCUUGACAAGAGGAGAAAAGGAGGUCAGGCAUCUCUCAAGUCCAUCCCCUCCCCUCCAGCUACCCAUCGGAGCCCCGUCAUCUCUCACCUGGAUCCCUGCGCAGCCUCACUCCUCUCCCUGCAAACCUGGCCCCACGGGGACCACUGAAACUUGCAUCAGAGAACAUCACGUGAUGCCCUGCUUCAAGCCCUCAGGCUGGACCCUCUCGGAACCUCGAUGCUCUCUCUAUGGCCCACAGGUCCUGUGCCAUCUGGCCCCUCCGCCCCCUCCCCCUCGCUCUGCCCUUGCUAUCUGGAGCAUUCUGCCCCAGGUCUAGGCAAGGCCGACUGCUGCUCAGAGAUGCCCUGCAGGGCCCCCAGCAAGGCUGCUCGCCCACCUCUCCUCAGCCAGGACCUUUCACACCUAUCACAUCCCUCUGGUUCUGUCUGUCUGAUGUCUGCAGUACAACAGGGGCCUCUCUGCCCGGCCCCCUGCCCUCUCCCCAGCUCCCGGAUGGUGCCGGCCCAGGCUCAGCAAACAUCUGAAUAAAUGAAUGUCUGAGUGGAUGACUGGGAAAGCUGGGAGAGAAGGUGCAGUCUCCUGGGACUUAACCUUGGGGGAGUGGGGAGGGGUCGGUGAUGCCACGCUGCCUGAACUCCUGCCCCACGCCUGGGAAGAAGGAAUACCGGUGGUUUUUCUUCUUUCUUCUGUGAACUCUGGGGCAGAAUGAGAGCCAGGGCCGGGGGGAGGGUGGUUCAGCUGAAUGUGGCAACGACAAGGGGUUAGGAAGACAUCAGGGGGGAGUGGAAGGAGGAUGAUAAAAUGCAUGUUGGGGAAGAGGAACCGAUUAAACAGUCAACUAGAUAAUAUUAGAUUUAGAGGGAGGGAGAAAAUGGAGAUGUUGGAAAUAUGAGUAGACUGAGUGGCAAUAAAACAGGAGAGAGACCAAGAAAAUGGGGAAAAAGUAGAAAUGGACUUUCUGAGUUAAAGCAUCCGCCUGGGACUGGAGACUGCGCAGCCAGGACGCCCCUUUGGCUCAGCCGCUCAGGCAUCCCGGAGGAAUCGGGUUUCACCCGUAGGCUCACUGGUUGGAUGCUUUCAAAUUCCAUUUAACCCGGUUUGAUCAUCGAAUUUUGGGGGAUUGCUGCCGGUCACCUCCAGAGCACAAGCCCCUGCCGGCUGGACUCCUUGGGGGUGGGGCAGGGUUCCCCGCCCAGCCCCAGUCUGCUCAAGUGCAGCCAAGACAAGUGUCCUGUCCUCAAGAAGCAAGCCCUCCGUUCACCUUCACGAGCUGGGGCCCCACUUUGCUUUCUGGGUCUGUGGUUGAAGCUUCACGGAGAAGAAGCUGCAGAGGCAGACGGACGAAGCCGCCUGCUCAAGGACACGACCCCCCUGGGAGCCGCUUCUUUGGGAGAAGGCAGGGCCCUCACACUUCAGUUGAGCAACAGGGUCACCUGACAAGCAUUUUAAAAACAUGAGUGCUUGGACCUCAGACCAGCCCCGUAGGGUCACGUCCAGCAACUCUGUUCUUGACGUUCCCCAGAUGAAGUUAAAUGCACACCGGUGGUUGGGCAUUAAACCCCUUCUGAGUGUUUCUAUCUCAAUGCCUUAGUGUGACUUAAUUUUUGAUCUUUUUCUAGUAAAGGGGCUUCCAUGGGUUGGGAAAGUGAACACUUGAUUGAUGGAAGGAAAGGUGGCAGGGGCUCCAGAGGUGACUGAUU
Molecule: long non-coding RNA, 3429 nt
Filed under: Equus asinus (donkey)
Lineage: Eukaryota; Metazoa; Chordata; Mammalia; Perissodactyla; Equidae
Description: lncRNA (ENSEASG00005025478.1)
Source: RNAcentral